GACGAACGCUGGCGGCGUGCUUAACACAUGCAAGUCGAGCGGUAAGGCCCUUUCGGGGGUACACGAGCGGCGAACGGGUGAGUAACACGUGGGUGACCUGCCCUUACGCUCUGGGAUAAGCCUGGGAAACGUAGGGUCUAAUACCGGAUAUGACUCCAUGACGCAUGUUGUGGGGUGGAAAGCCUUGUGCGGCUAGGGAUGGGCCCGCGGCCUAUCAGCUUGUUGGUGGGGUGAUGGCCACCAAGGCGACGAC
Molecule: ribosomal RNA, 253 nt
Filed under: uncultured bacterium
Lineage: Bacteria
Description: partial 16S ribosomal RNA
Rfam family: Bacterial small subunit ribosomal RNA
Source: RNAcentral